RNAcentral lists this transfer RNA (74 nucleotides) under Enterococcus phage EF24C. RNAcentral describes it as "Enterococcus phage phiEF24C tRNA". It matches the Rfam family "tRNA". Rfam says of the family: Transfer RNA (tRNA) molecules are approximately 80 nucleotides in length. Their secondary structure includes four short double-helical elements and three loops (D, anti-codon, and T loops). Further hydrogen bonds mediate the characteristic L-shaped molecular structure. tRNAs have two regions of fundamental functional importance: the anti-codon, which is responsible for specific mRNA codon recognition, and the 3' end, to which the tRNAs corresponding amino acid is attached (by aminoacyl-tRNA synthetases). tRNAs cope with the degeneracy of the genetic code in two manners: having more than one tRNA (with a specific anti-codon) for a particular amino acid; and 'wobble' base-pairing, i.e. permitting non-standard base-pairing at the 3rd anti-codon position. Lineage: Duplodnaviria; Heunggongvirae; Uroviricota; Caudoviricetes; Herelleviridae. The record is from Rfam by way of RNAcentral. RNAcentral also lists the same sequence under 58 other names.
GGACGUUUAGCUCAGUUGGUCAGAGCAUUCGGCUCAUAACCGAACGGUCGCAGGUUCGAGACCUGCAAUGUCCA